This 552-nucleotide ribosomal RNA is filed under the name uncultured Archaeospora. Its description in RNAcentral is "eukaryotic LSU rRNA". The stretch from base 141 to 294 matches the Rfam family "5.8S ribosomal RNA". Lineage: Eukaryota; Fungi; Glomeromycota; Glomeromycetes; Archaeosporales; Archaeosporaceae. The record is from RNAcentral.
UUUCCGUAGGUGAACCUGCGGAAGGAUCAUUGACGAAGGCGAGAAUUGUAAAAAGAUUCUCGUUUGAUCAAUCACAUUCCAAAAGUGCGAGUAUAGUAAAAUGGGGAGACCCAUUUACGAUGUAUGUAUUAAUAAAACAAAACUUUCAACAACGGAUCUCUUGGCUCUUGCAUCGAUGAAGAACGCAGCGAAUUGCGACAAGUAGUGUGAAUUGCAGAAUUCCGUGAAUCAUCGAGUCUUUGAACGCAUAUUGCACCUUUUGGUAUUCCGAAAGGUAUGCCUGUUUGAGGGUCAUUGAAUCAAUCGGUACGCGCAUACUUUUUGUGUAUCGGAAUGUUGAGCUUUUCGUAAUAUUUAUUAUGAUUGCUAGAAAUUCGAAGCACUGGUCUCGGCCUAAUAUAGAGACGCGUUUACGGUGGCUUGCUACCAAUUUUUCGCAACUUUAGGUCGAAUUCCAAGCUGGUUUGGGCAUUUUCUCGAGGAAAGAAAAGGCGCAUACAAUUUAAUUUUUAUCAUGACCUCAAAUCAAGCAAGAAUACCCGCUGAACUUAA